UACGUAGGGUGCAAGCGUUAUUCGGAAUUACUGGGCGUAAAGCGCGCGCAGGCGGUUGCGUAAGUCAGAUGUGAAAGCCCCGGGCUCAACCUGGGAAUUGCAUUUGAGACUGCGUAGCUAGGGUGCGGAAGAGGGAAGCGGAAUUUCCGGUGUAGCGGUGAAAUGCGUAGAUAUCGGAAGGAACACCAGUGGCGAAAGCGGCUUCCUGGGCCAGCACCGACGUUCAGGCACGAAAGCGUGGGGAGCAAACAGG
RNAcentral lists this ribosomal RNA (253 nucleotides) under uncultured bacterium. Its description in RNAcentral is "partial 16S ribosomal RNA". It matches the Rfam family "Bacterial small subunit ribosomal RNA", at positions 524 to 776 of the family's 1533-position model. The record is from RNAcentral.